Molecule: unclassified non-coding RNA, 3266 nt
Organism: Apis florea (little honeybee)
Lineage: Eukaryota; Metazoa; Arthropoda; Insecta; Hymenoptera; Apidae
Source: RefSeq, a predicted model, not a curated record
UGAUUAAAUAAGUAAAUAGAAUACAAAAUAAGUAAAUAGAAUAAUUUUAGAAUCUAAUUUAAAUAUUUCAUAUUUUUGCUGUUAAAAAGAAAACAUAUGAUAAUAGUUCACAUUGGAAGGAUUAACUAACAUCACCCUAACGUUCUUUUUCGAAAAUAACGCUCGAACCACGUGGUUUCAUAGAGAAAACAUAGUUUAAACCUAGGGAUGAUGGAACGACGACGAAGAAGAGUAUUCUCUUCAUUAACACAUACUUCAUCAGUGACUGUUAAUGAAUCACGUGUUCAUAUAUCAGCUUUGAAUGACUCUCGCCCUGUGUUUUUCCUAGCCUGUUAAUUUAUAUCUCGAGAAAACUCCUCGCGGAGGCCAUUUUCGGUGUCCAAAUAAAAAGGAGCCAUGAUUCUGAAAGACUAACCCCUUUGACUUGCAUAGUAAGUUAUCCUACUUUGGUCAAGGGAAACUAUUUUUUAUGUAAUGCUUUUAGAAUCCAUGUUAUUUCUUUUUUUUUUUUUUUUCCACAACUAAAAGCGGCUUCUUUGAUGGAAUUGAUUCUAAUUUUCUUUUUUAAUCUUUAAAUUAGGAUCGUAACCAUUCUAGGAAUGGAGUUUCCAUUUUGGAUGUUGCAUAAAACACCAUAACAUCGAAUCAACGAGAGAGGGAAGAUAACCACCCUUUCCGUUUCAAUGGGGAAACCGACAUCAGAGUUGCCCUUCUCCGCUUUCUUUUCAUUAAACCGACGACACGCAGUCGCUGAGGGGCGGCGCUUUCGAAUGGCAGCAUCAAGGCGCAGACGCCUUCGGUUUCACACCGUGCUUCCGGUUUCAACUAGAUCAAUCAUUUUCCCUAUCAGAAAUCUUUCCACUGUUCUGAAAUAAACGGCAGACCGCGAUGGAGCUUCCAUUUGCUUUUGCAAAUGUGUUUACACGGCACUAUAUACUUCACCGGAAUAAUUUCUGGUGUCUUUUUGCUCUGUACGAAAACGAACGAGUUUUCCUUGGCGCCUGUACUGCACCGGUAUUGUGAGAUCCGUGAUUCCGUGGUAUCGCCUGAGUAAAUUCCAUCCAUUGGUGGGGGCGGCGGCCCUUACAAUUUACUGUUUCCACGUUCCGAUCUAUUUUAAUUAUUCCUUCGCGGUUUGCCAUGAAAAAUUCCAUAAAUCUUCGUCCCCAAGAUAAUUAGCAGGGAUACUUUCGACUAGUGGGUAUAAAUCCUGUAAUUCUUUCCAGGAACCCCGGAACAUUGACAACAGACGAGAUGCACUGGAACUCCAGUGUUUCUCAAGCUUUAAAAUUUUAUGGAAAAAUUGAUUCAUAAUCUUCUUGUAAUUUUUUCAAUAAUGACAAUUUAAUAAUUUAUGAAAAUAAGGAAAAAUUUGAAUUAACAUGCUAUUUCAAUUUCAUUGGCUUAUAGUUAAUUAUUAUUUGAUUGUUUUUUUAAUAGCAAUUAUAGAAUGUGAGCGUCUAAUAUUCUUGCUUGAGAAUUCUCGUUAAAAUUUUUUAAAACUAAUCGUUUUAAAAAAUUUAGAAAUAUGAUAAAUUAGAUGAUUAGCUUUUUAUAUAAAAAAAAAAAAAUCAAUUAUUGAAUGAAAUCAUUGAGAAACGCUGUAUCAUGGUGUAUCACUUGAAAAAUGAAGGAACAGCGCGUAAAUUGUUAUUAUAGAGGUUUGAACGCUUGUAGCGGUUCUUAAUUCGUGAAGACAUUUAUUUGGUACACUUUGGUGCAAUAUAAUUCGACGCGUUUCUGCUAUUUUUACUGUUUUGUGAUUCAUUUACCCUACUAUUAAAAAGAAUUAUUGCCUUUGAGAUUCGAAACAUGUUACCACACCAACACCGUUCUCUAAUUUCUUCUUAACGAUUAAUUAUAUUUUAUUUUCAGAAGAAUAGGUAUUUCAAUGCUAGAGUUUUUUCAAUGCUAUAACGAAUCCGUACGUUUCUUCAUCUCUCAUACAGGGAAAAGGAGGUAGCUGACUGAAGAUAAUAAUCACUUUCCGUUCGUCGUAAAUCUCUCCUUAUGAACGAUGGCGAUAGGGUUUGCUCGCACGAAAAUAGAGUUUUUUUCCUGGCCCUCGUAAAAUAUUUAUAUGCGCAAAUAGUGGAGAGUCGAGUCGAAAAUAGGGUUAGUCUGUGAUUCGAUGAAAAGAAGACAUCGAUAAGAUGUUGAUGUCAGAGCGUCUGGGGAAUCGAAGAGGUGAAUCCUCCGGUUUUGAUAGAGAAGUGGACCCAUUACGCUAUCUCUCGAGAAGGUUGUUACUUUUGUUGGACAGCUGUUUCCUUUAAAAAAAAUUGGUUUUAUCGAAACGAGCUCGAAUUAAUCAAAGUGGACAAAGAAGUUUUCUGAUUUUCUUUUUUUUUUUUUUUAAGAAUCAUUAUUUAAUUGAGAAACUCAUUGUGUAACAAAAAUUUGGAUACUUCCUGAGUUCUUUUUUUAAUAAUAGAUUUUUUAAUGACUAUAUUGAGAAAUAGAUUUCAAUUAUAUAUAUAACGAAUAUAGUCGGUCAGAUCUUUGACAGAAAGCCGUUUCUGUAGUCCCGCCCUCGAAACAGGAAAUUAGUUGCCGACAGGCGGUUCGAAUUAUACAUUUCUCGGGAGAACCGGUAAGAAAGUAAGAACCUUCUUUUCCUAUCUUUCUAUUUCAAUUUUCCUUCAUCGGCAAUCAGUAAUCAUCAAAGGAAAAUUGUAUUCAUUUACACAACAUCUAAUUACAGGUAUCGUGAUCAAAAGAUUCUAUUAAUUUUUGUCUCGGUAUACUUCCAUUUCACUUUGCCUAUAUUCUAACCCACAGUAAAGUUCUUUUUAUGCAAGCUUUCUAAGAGGGGAGAAGUUGUCGACGUGUCCCCUCGACAGCUGCCACCACUGUAAGAUCCGGUUCACACGACUCUCCUCGCUUAUUCUCUUUUUCUUUCUUCUUUUUACAUUUUUAUAGGGGCUUUCUGAAAAUUAUAUUUUACUGAAGUAUCAAAGAAAGAAUAAAAUUUGGGAAAAUUUGAUGGGAAGAUUUAUGAAAAGAAGUGUGAAGCAGUCAUCACAUACGAAGACUUUUUUGCAGAAGAGCACUUAUCAAGGACGUUCAAUUUGCAAUACAUUCACAUGGGGACAGUGUUAGUAGAAGUCAGUAAACAGGAAAACACUGAAGUUUGAAGAUCCUUGCAUAUAUGUCAUGCAGAAAUUUCGGUCUCAAAUACUUAAUUGGUCAUCCUGCAUGAAUUGUGGACCACGUGGUAGCAAAUGUUUGUACACGCUCAAAGAACCAAAUCCAAAUGAAAGUAA